RNAcentral lists this ribosomal RNA (999 nucleotides) under human gut metagenome. RNAcentral describes it as "bacterial LSU rRNA". It matches the Rfam family "Bacterial large subunit ribosomal RNA", at positions 1926 to 2925 of the family's 2925-position model. The record is from RNAcentral.
AACGGCGGCCGUAACUAUAACGGUCCUAAGGUAGCGAAAUUCCUUGUCAGGUAAGUUCUGACCCGCACGAAUGGCGUAAUGAUCUGGGAGCUGUCUCAACUGCCCGCCCGGCGAAAUUGUAGUACCGGUGAAGAUGCCGGUUACCCGCGACUAGACGGAAAGACCCCAUGGAGCUUUACUGUAGCUUAAUAUUGGAUUUCGGCAUUUCAUGUACAGGAUAGGUGGGAGACUAGGAAACAUAGGCGUCAGCUUAUGCGGAGUCGUCCUUGGGAUACCACUCUUGGAGUGCUGAAAUUCUAACCUGCAGCCCUGAAUCGGGUUGGGGGACAUUGUUAGGUGGGCAGUUUGACUGGGGCGGUCGCCUCCAAAAAGGUAACGGAGGCGCUCAAAGGUUGGCUCAGCAUGGAUGGAAACCAUGCUAUAGAGUGCAAACGCAAAAGCCAGCCUGACUGCGAGACUGACGGGUCGAGCAGAAACGAAAGUUGGAGUUAGUGAUCCGGCGGUAUGUGAAUGGAAAUGCCGUCGCUCAACGGAUAAAAGCUACCCUGGGGAUAACAGGCUGAUCUCCCCCAAGAGUCCACAUCGACGGGGAGGUUUGGCACCUCGAUGUCGGCUCAUCACAUCCUGGGGCUGUAUUCGGUCCCAAGGGUUCGGCUGUUCGCCGAUUAAAGUGGCACGCGAGCUGGGUUCAGAACGUCGUGAGACAGUUCGGUCCCUAUCUGUCGUGGGCGAAGGAUAUUUGAGAGGAGCUGUCCCUAGUACGAGAGGACCGGGAUGGACGCACCUCUGGUGCACCAGUUGUCACGCCAGUGGCACAGCUGGGCAGCUAAGUGCGGAUCGGAUAAACGCUGAAAGCAUCUAAGCGUGAAGCCGUCCUUAAGAUAAGAUAUCCCACUUUUAAGUUAAGACCCCUUGAAGACUACGAGGUUGAUAGGUCUAAGGUGUAAGUUGUGUGAGCAAUUUAGCCAGCAGAUACUAAUCGGUCGAGGGCUUAAACCU